UACAGAGGUGGCAAGCGUUGUUCGGAAUUACUGGGCGUAAAGCGCGCGUAGGCGGCUUUGCAAGUCGGGUGUGAAAUCCCCAGGCUUAACCUGGGAACUGCAUUCGAGACUGCAUUGCUAGAGUAUGGGAGAGGGAAGUGGAAUUUCCGGUGUAGCGGUGAAAUGCGUAGAUAUCGGAAGGAACAUCAGUGGCGAAAGCGACUUCCUGGACCAAUACUGACGCUCAUGUGCGAAAGCGUGGGGAGCAAACAGG
RNAcentral lists this ribosomal RNA (253 nucleotides) under uncultured bacterium. Its description in RNAcentral is "partial 16S ribosomal RNA". It matches the Rfam family "Bacterial small subunit ribosomal RNA", at positions 524 to 776 of the family's 1533-position model. The record is from RNAcentral.